AUCAACUGAAGCGCAGGACGCGCUCAGGAUCAUGGAUGAUUGACCAUGGCCUCGGAGGCUACCGACAGGAUGUCGGAAUGGUCUUGAAAAAACCCGCUUCGGCGGGUUUUUU
Pseudomonadales bacterium is the source of this 112-nucleotide non-coding RNA. NCBI's taxonomy places the organism in Bacteria, Pseudomonadati, Pseudomonadota, Gammaproteobacteria, Pseudomonadales. The record is from Rfam.